UCUCCGCUUAUUCACCCGCGGGAUGACCCGUCUCUCCCGGGAGGCUGUCUGUCUGUCUGUGCCGUCCUGCCAGACGGCGCUGCGCCCUCAUCUCCGCGGCAGGCGGGUUGGUCAGCGCGGGUGAUGCAGACUCGAGGUGCUGUCUCCCACAGAUGCCUCCCACAGGAUGCCUGUCUCCCACAGAUGGAGGGAAAAGCCCAGGAACUGAAACUUCUGCCCUCACUAUGGAGAAAGACUGUCUCACUGGGUGAGCCUUGAAAGAAGAUGGCCCCACCAAUUGAAGAUUGAACUGCUGAUAAGUCCAAUGUUGAAACUUGCUUUUCUUGUUUGUGAGAGUAAGCAUUUUAUUAAUCACUUCUGUGGCAUUUACAUACCACUGCAAUUUUCAUCCUACUUUUGUUUCUGUGCCUACUCACUUAAGCACUUAUUUUUAAUGUUGAAUUAUAUUCCCUAUCCUAUAAUAGAUACCUACAUGUAUAUAGUUUGCUUUCAUCACUAUAUUACCUUAGGAUUUCCACACAAGGGACCAAUGUAAUUCAGAAAAUACUAGUGGAAAGCACAUUAAAAGUUAUGUCCCUAAUCAACCAGUUGUCAAAUGAUUCAACCCAAACCUGCAACACACUCAUUCAUAGCUAGUCAUGGAGAUAUCUGUUGCCUCUUUCCAGACAAUGAAUUUCCAGUGACAAUGCUAGACAUGCAAAACAAGAGGCUUCAUGGAUGUUACUACUUCAAACCUUUCUUCCAAAUUCCAUGUCAUCCUUUGGAAGUGGCAUGGUGGCUGUUGGAGGCAGCCCUAGUACUUUAGAAAAUCUGCUUGCUGACAUCAGAAGGAAGCUCUUAUGCUCCUUUCAGGCUCUAAGGUGUGUGCAGUUUUGCCAUGUAGCAUGGUUCUUGUUCCAAGACAUAGAAGGGAGGACAAGAGUGAGCUGUCACUUCAGUAAGUGUAUUUUAGAAGACUGGUCACCUUACCUGUAUUUAAACACAACUAGCAGAUGAAGAUGUGUGCACCUAUGUCAGCUAGGUCACUGCAAUUAGUAACGCUUUGUAAUCUGGUCUGGUAGACAAAAUUUUUAGAAGCCAUUGUGGUUGUAAAAUUAAAGAAAAUUGGUGGCUUAGGGCUAUGCAGACAUUUAUACAUAUAUACAUAUAUGUUCAGGCUAUAGCCCUGAGAGGUCGUGGUGGAAAGUACUUCCCAAGACUUCUGGUAACAGGACCAAACCAAAAGUUCAUACAAUUAAUGUGAAAAUGUGUAUAAGUCCAUUCAGCUUUUGAAUGCUUCCUCCUUUCAUUUUAUUUAUUAUUUUAUUUUAUUUUAUUUUAUUUAUUUAUUCAUUUUAGUUAUUAUUUUUUGUAGUACAACAAAUUCUGUUCUAUUCUGCAUAGGCAUAUGUCUAUGCACUUCACUAACUUCUGUGAGCCUUACAAUAACGAUCCAUAAGGAGAACUGGUUUAGACACAUUUCUGUCCAUUUUCUCUGUGUUGCUAAAAAUAUAUUCUCAUCCUCCUGAUAUGCUGCUUUUUCUUUUCAGUCUUUAAUUUAUUCUGUUAAGGACACUUAGAGCUCUCUUUUAAAAAUAUCUUCGUUCAAAGUGUAAGUUACCAAUUUGCUGUGCUCUGUAACUGGAGGAGUUUGCAUUUCUACAAAAACCUCCGGCAUUCAUAGUUUUAAGAUGGAGCUUACUUGGAAAAAUGACACUGUCGGAAACAUUCUACAGUAUAAGCAUUAGAGAAACAAGUUCUGUAAACUUUAGCUUUAGGAAUAAAAUCUUCCAAUGUUUCCAGGGAAGUGCUGUGAUAUUUAUGGGGAUCUGUAUUUCCUUUUUUAUGUUCCCAGCUACACCUGUAAUGAUGACAGAAUCCUGACAUUCACAAUCUCAUUCAUAGUUCUUUCUUGUGCAGCUAAGUCUGGAUCACCUGUUGUUGGGUUAGGUGCAAAAUGUAGUAUGUGCUAAAACAGUUGUGGUUUUUUUGGUGUUUGUUUUCUGACAGCUCUGACAACACAUAAUGUUGCAUAGCCUAGGAAUGCAUAAUUAAUUGUGAAAAAACUUGCCCAUGGAGAAAUAGGAAAAUGAAAUAACAAUAAUCUUAAAAAAUAAUUGUGUCACCAUCUUCUUCAGUAUUAGCACAAACUCAUUGAGCUUUGGCACAAACUCAUUUUUUCCAAGAAGAGGUACCAUAUAUAUAGUCAUAUAUACCCAUAUAUGCACACAAGAAUCCAAUCCAAGUAAUCAAACCAAUGUAAUGUGAGCCUAUAUCCAUUAAAAUAAAACACUAUUAUAUGUCAGUAAGUUAGUUUUGUUGUUGUUGGUGGUUUUGUUUUUUUUUUUCCCCCCCCCUGAAAUUUUCUCUGCAUUGUAUGUUGCUAUUACGGGGAAACAUUCCUCCAGAAGCAAUUAAAGUAAAGGCUGGACUACAACAGAAGUAUUUUAAAAUACUUAAAAUUAAGCAAGUGCUGAAUGUUUAGGUGAAUUGGAGCUGUGAUUUUCUGUGCCUCAUAAGGUAGAGAUGCUAGAAAAGAAGGCAAAUACAAAGAGCCUAGCUGGGAAGUAUGGAUGAACUAAGGGUUUUCCUCAAGCUUAUCAUUUUUUCAGAGCAUAUGGGUUUGUGCACUAGCACUAAUCAACAUGUGACCUCUCAAGUAGAUCCUCAUUAGCUUUCAUUGCUGUGCCAUGAAUACAUUCAUAGGUGUUCCUUGACUUGAUGUUUUAUAAUGUCUGGGGGACGGAAAACUGCUGUAUCCCUCUUCAGCCAGCCUCUCUCCUUUGCCAGGUUUAGUAGACUUGUGUUGGGUUGUGUUCCUUGCUCCACAGACUAUGUCUCCCAAGUCAUGACUGUCCUACAGGCAUAGGUAUUGCUGCGAAGGAAGGGAAAUAAGAAAAGGACACCCAAACAUGAGAAUAAGUGAUUAGGGCUGAGAGGGCAUGCUCCAUCCUGUCUUUCACUGCUCUCCCAUGAAACAAGGACAACUGAUUUCCUAAAAUGAUUAAGCUAGGAAUGGAUUGCAAAGAGAUACAGUGGUCAAGUUAGAGAGGAGGAGCCUCCUCCUGCACCACCUUGCAUACCACCUUGGUCCUUGCUGACACAGGUCUAAUUCACAGGGAUCUUGGCAUCACGUCUUUUCACUCAGGUCUUUCUGGAGCUCCUGAAAACCUGUUAUCUUAAAAGACCAUACCAUCUCAUGGCUUAACAUAAUGAAAUUUUAGUCUGCUUUUGAUGAGGUAUUUUGGAAGUUGGCCAACUAUUAAAGUUCGGUGGGGAAUCUUUCAAAAUUACAGAUUAAACUAAUAAAUCAGUACGGAAAACAAAAACAAAAACAAAACAAAAAAAAAAAACAGCCAUCUCUGUCUUCAAUUGCUAUAUUGUAAUUACAGCUCCUAAGAAAAUUUCUGUUACAUGGCAUAGUUAGAUCACCAGGUAAUUUCUUAGGUUUCUGUGAUUACUUAGCUCAGGACAGAGCAGCUUUUGAAACAUCAGUUCACUCUGAGAUUAAUCUGCUUCUUGCUAUACACACCUCACAGAUAAUGGAAAAUGCUGGUAACUUGAAUAGCAGGUAUAAAUUAUGACGUAUUUAUUUUGGCUGAUAUUUAUGCAUGACAGAUCCUGAAGUGACCUUUUGCUAUUAGGUAAUAUAUAUAUAUAUACAAAGUGUAAUUAUAUAUAUAUAUAAAAUAUACAAUUAGGUAUAUAUGUACUUAGGUACAAUGUCUGUACCUAAGUGUGUGUGUGUAUAUAUAUAUAUAUAUUUAUUUUUUUUCAAGACUCUGUCUUUCCUUAUACAUUCAUGUUCUCUUAUACUCUAAAGAAAAUCAGCAAUUGGGGGGGUUUAUUACUUCCUUGGCACCGUUUUACCUUCCAUCGGAGAAGGCCUGAAUUUAAUUUCCAGUUAAGGUCCAUGACAGUUUUAGAGAGGCAGAAUCCAAAAAAGUCACACUUUGUCCUUGAGGUCAAGCUUGAGGUCAGCUAUUUAUUUUCUGACUAUUCUUGAGUAAGCCCCUGAAAUUUAUGUGCCUCAGCUCUCCGCACAGGACUCAUAUUUCUGUUGUUGAAUUUGUCUAUUUAGAUUGGGCACCUUACCAAUGUCUAGGGUUUGACCAGGUUCAAGUUGAGAGAUUGCAAAGCUUCAAUCCCAGGACAAGGGAAAAGAGAGUGCACACAGCUUCUCUAAGCACUGUGUGCCGAGUCCCCAAGCACAGUAGCCACAGCAUGGGCUUCGUUAGCUCAUCACUCAAGGAGGCAUUAAAUCAAACACCGUGAGUCCCUUAGCUGGCUAUGAGCUUGUAUUUUCUGCUUUAGUGCAAAUUUAAAACAGACUAACGACAGGACCAUGAACUAGGCCUUUUUUCCUAAAGCUCAGUUCAAUAGUUUAGAAAAACUGCAUCUAAAACAUUGCCACAGGAAAAGAAGCAUCAUACUUCCCUUCACCCUUUGUACUCCCAUACUGCAGAUAAACAUUUAAACAACCAUCUGAAAAUUAAAUUCA
Molecule: long non-coding RNA, 4480 nt
Organism: Anas platyrhynchos (mallard)
Lineage: Eukaryota; Metazoa; Chordata; Aves; Anseriformes; Anatidae
Source: RefSeq, a predicted model, not a curated record